CAUAGAGCACUCCAGUUUCGAGUAAUCAUUGGACUGAAAGUCUCACACAGAUCACUAGAUGUAGACAAACAUAUGGGAGGCCCUCUGUGACCAGUAAAAUACUGAGGAUUAUUCUGAUAGACGGUAGAGGGCACAACAGAAUUGGUCCAUCCAGUAGCAUCCGAUCAAGCACACUGACGGCUUCAUUGGCACAUAUAUUAUGGCCGAUAGAUUGAUAAAAAUUCUAUCUUUAAAUUAAUUUCAUAUUGAAUUAAUCAUAUAUAUAUUUUAAUUAAUUUAAUUUAAUUAUUUAUUUAUUAUAGACAUGGCAGCUAGAUCAUGCAUCAGGAUAGC
Molecule: long non-coding RNA, 333 nt
Filed under: Elaeis guineensis (African oil palm)
Lineage: Eukaryota; Viridiplantae; Streptophyta; Magnoliopsida; Arecales; Arecaceae
Description: long non-coding RNA (EGUI_LNC004940)
Source: RNAcentral